This 484-nucleotide ribosomal RNA is filed under the name uncultured bacterium. Its description in RNAcentral is "partial 16S ribosomal RNA". It matches the Rfam family "Bacterial small subunit ribosomal RNA", at positions 29 to 507 of the family's 1533-position model. The record is from RNAcentral.
AUUGAACGCUGGCGGAAUGCUUUACACAUGCAAGUCGAACGGCAGCACGGGGGCAGCCCUGGUGGCGAGUGGCGAGCGGGUGAGUAAUACAUCGGAACGUGCCCGGUCGUGGGGGAUAACGUAGCGAAAGUUACGCUAAUACCGCAUACGAUCUGAGGAUGAAAGCGGGGGACCUUCGGGCCUCGCGCGAUCGGAGCGGCCGAUGUCAGAUUAGGUAGUUGGUGGGGUAAAGGCCUACCAAGCCGACGAUCUGUAGCUGGUCUGAGAGGACGACCAGCCACACUGGGACUGAGACACGGCCCAGACUCCUACGGGAGGCAGCAGUGGGGAAUUUUGGACAAUGGGCGCAAGCCUGAUCCAGCCAUUCCGCGUGCAGGACGAAGGCCUUCGGGUUGUAAACUGCUUUUGUACGGAACGAAAAGGCUCUGGCUAAUACCUGGGGCUCAUGACGGUACCGGAAGAAUAAGCACCGGCUAACUACGUG